UGUUUUGUUUUUUUUACCCUUAGAAACCACAGCUAUUUACACCUUCAUAAAGCAGGGCAUCAUAUCCGAAGCGGAAAUAGGCUUCUCUGGAGUGAACAUGGGAUGGAGUAGACGUUCAACUCAACAGGCUAAUCAUUUGUAAUAGCCGCAAUUACAGAAAAAGACCACUAGAGUGCGCCAAAGUCCGCAGAAAAAUCACAGCUGAGCAGCGCCGUUCUUCAUUUUUCAUCUCCUACAAACGCCUCAUGCAGUGAAAAAGCCAGAUGUGUCUCCUGUAAUGGAAAAGAAAGGGGGGAAAAAAACUUUCAGCAAUUCCACUUUACAAAUUUUCACUGGACAGGACUGAAGUAUCAGCUAUCAAAUGUUGUAUUCACCACAUGUGAUGUGCUUCACUACAGCACUGUUAUGCAAAACCAGGGCCGACGGGUCUCUUUUCUCCCGUUGUCACCUCUUUUGUUUAAAGUGUUUAUUAGAAGUAUAAGGGAGAUGAAGCAGACAGGGCAACAGCGACGCCUUUGCUGACCUGGCGGCAGAGAUCGCUGGUUUAGGAUGACUCUCUCCUCCUUCACCAUCCAUCCGUAGCACUUCCUCCGCUCACCUGCCCCUCCCUCAGUCCCUCUGACCUCCAUUCCCAACUCUUCUGGCUGAUUACUCCUAAUGUAAUUUUAAUUAAAAACUGUGGUGUCAAAGGGUUUAGCCUGCCUGAGAAGCGGGUGCAGAUUGUGGCACAGUGGCAGACCCCUUCACUUGCUUGAGAGGAAAUGCAUCCUGACAUUGCUCGGGUGGUGCCAACACAACUAGAGCCAAGGUAAAAUAAAAAGGCUUUCUGUUUUACUUAAAUAUUGUAUACGCUUAUGCUGCAGGGGUGCAAAAGAAUCCUGAAUCUUUUCUUUUACUUAUUUGUUUCAUUUGGAUUGCAUACUGUAUUGGAUUGUGUAAGUUAUGUGAACGUUCUUUUACACACAAUACACCAGUAAUUCUCCAUCCCUGUAGGCCUGAUAUGUAUUAAACUGUUAUCCAGGCA
Molecule: long non-coding RNA, 1024 nt
Organism: Oreochromis aureus
Lineage: Eukaryota; Metazoa; Chordata; Actinopteri; Cichliformes; Cichlidae
Exons: 3
Source: RefSeq, a predicted model, not a curated record